UUCAGACCAGCGACCGCGCCAGCCGCGAAUCGGAUCUCUAUGGAGAUGGCCUAGCGAUAUCCCUGAGCUGAGAGCAUCACCCUGUCCCCGAAUCCUUCUUUCCUCUCUGUUUUGUUUUUCAUUCCCCUCCCUCUCUCCCCUCCCCCUCCAGUCCACGACGACUGGCUGUUGACCCUGUUCAGGCCUCGGUGAAGGCUUUUGGUUACUCCCCUUCCCACCCCAUCCCUUAAUUUUAUUCUUUUGAAGAGUGCAUUUCAAGCUGCCAAGGUGAAGAGAGGGAUUACAGAAAGGAGAACACCUUAUUUCAGGUAUCUUAUCCUCUACCCCUUAAUAGGAGAACCAUUUUGACUCAAGAUCUAACAUGAGAAUACAAAACUUA
RNAcentral lists this long non-coding RNA (379 nucleotides) under Pan troglodytes (chimpanzee). Its description in RNAcentral is "long non-coding RNA NONPTRT002971". Lineage: Eukaryota; Metazoa; Chordata; Mammalia; Primates; Hominidae. The record is from RNAcentral.